CAUUUUAUGUUAUGGGUAGUAUUCCAUCAUAUAUAACUAUCUGUACAUGUAUCCAUACAUUUAACAUAAUAUAACUUUAUUUUGUAAAAAGUCAGACAUUUUUACCAAUCCGUUUAUUUCUUCUAUUACCUUUAUUGCAAAGUUACUUACAUUAUAUCCUUCCUCUCUUCCCUUGUUCAUACUCAAAUUUGAUCUUAUCAUACAUGCAUUGCCUUUUUGUAAGACUGACCCAAACUUCCUGCCUCUUACAUUUCUAAGCGUGUUGAAUUGUUGAAGAUACCUCAUAUAUUUAGGAACACGUCUAGUCUCUACAAAAGAUAAAUAUUCACAGAGGAGUUGCCUACCCCUGACUUAGGCAAUCAUUUUUUAGCACACAACACUCGCAGUAUCACAGACAAUUGUGACUCCCCUUUUCAUACAAUAGAUAUGCUCUUCUCUACAUAUUUGUGGUUUAAUCUUUUUUUUUUUGAAGCGGUGUUUCCUUUGCAGACUGAAUGAGUAUUAUCAAUAGUAAUCCCAUGUUGAGUGCUAAGUAAAAGUAAUACUUUUGCAAUGGACAGCCUCUUUUCUGAAUCACGUUAGGAAUGCUCUCAGCUACAUAGAAGGCUAUAUGUAUAAGUGAGAAGAAGGGAAUCUCACAUAGAAAGAUCCCUGCAUUUUAGGGAGAAAGGAAUGCAGUAUUAUUAACUGGGAUCUUUGCAAGAUUUGUGAAAGAAAUUGGGAGCUACAGCUAUUUCUACUUUUCCAUUGUGGCUUCUGCCUCCAGUGAAAGAUUAUCAGUUUGAUAGGGUUGGUUUGUGGACAUGCAUGAAUACAUAUGUAUCAUUUACUCCCAUGUCUUUGAAAUGGCUCAUUUCAGAGCCAUUGCAGUCAUUUCAAUGGCUCAUUUCAUACAUAUAUACAAUAUAUAUAGAAAGAAAUCUUAUGGAGUGAAUAUGGUAUGCAUCCUUGGCCAGAAUCCCCUAUGAGAUUAAUUUAUAUUUAGAUUCAGAUGUCAUUGAACUCUUGUUUCUAUCAACCUCAGCCAACUGCAAUACAAUAGUGUAUUGCAAGUUCUUCAGCAUCUAGAGAACAAGGAUAAUCUGAAAUAACUUUCACAAAGAAUGCCUUUAUAAGUGUUCAAGAAAUGCUGCUUUUAACAGUAAUAUAUAUUCUUUCCCAUAUUCCCUUGUUAAUAUAAUCUAAUUUACUAAAAUUAUCAAUAGAAAAAAUCCUUUUUUAUCAUAACAUGAAAUUAAUAUUGCAACUUCAAUUUAGAAUUAACUCCUAUAUAUUCACUAAGUCUGGAAAUAGAUUUAUACGGAGUGUUUUUAGACCUGAACUUGAUUAUUAUUUCAUUUUAGCAUUAUAGAUACAACUGAUGCAUGUAAGCAUAUAUUCAUUCAGUCUGCAAUUUCCAUCUUGAGAGUGAGUCUCAUACUUCUUUCCUCUAAAUGUUUUAUGUCAUAUCAGCCCAAUUCAUGAUUUUGGAGAACUUAAAAUGUUUGUAAAUUAUUUGAUGACAUUUAUGUUGGUUCUAAUUAAGGUACAAUCUAACUGAAUGUUAUUGUUUUUCUUAGGUAUAAGAUCUCUAUUUUCUCUGUUAAUUUAUUAAUGAUUUAUAUGCUUAAUUGAAUCUUGGUACUAUUUGAUGUCAGUCCUAUACAGGUAAAACCUAAUAUUGAUUCUUGUUUAAUCUGGCAUUUUUGAUAAUAUGCUUAGGCAAUAUACAUUUUCUGGUUUUUCCAUGGAUUGAUCUUAUUCUAAACUGUGAUUCAAAAUAUUGUUUGUAUAUGUGCUCCACUCACAGGCAUGCAAGUUUUCAUUAAAGCAUUAUUUAGAUU
Protobothrops mucrosquamatus (brown spotted pit viper) is the source of this 1823-nucleotide long non-coding RNA. RefSeq lists it as uncharacterized. The record is from RefSeq and is a predicted model, not a curated record. The transcript has 2 exons. NCBI's taxonomy places the organism in Eukaryota, Metazoa, Chordata, Lepidosauria, Squamata, Viperidae.